UGAGGAAUAUUGGUCAAUGGGCGAGAGCCUGAACCAGCCAAGUCGCGUGAAGGAUGACUGUCUUAUGGAUUGUAAACUUCUUUUAUACGGGAAUAACAAGAGUCACGCGUGACUCCCUGCAUGUACCGUAUGAAUAAGCAUCGGCUAACUCCGUGCCAGCAGCCGCGGUAAUACGGAGGAUGCGAGCGUUAUCCGGAUUUAUUGGGUUUAAAGGGUGCGUAGGCGGCCUGUUAAGUCAGCGGUGAAAUCUAGGAGCUUAACUCCUAAAUUGCCAUUGAUACUGGCGGGCUUGAGUGUAGAUGAGGUAGGCGGAAUGCGUGGUGUAGCGGUGGAAUGCAUAGAUAUCACGCAGAACUCCGAUUGCGAAGGCAGCUUACUAAGGUACAACUGACGCUGAAGCACGAAAGCGUGGGUAUCAAACAGGAUUAGAUACCCUGGUAGUCCACGCUGUAAACGAUGAUAACUGGGCGUAUGCGAUAUACAGUAUGCUCCUAAGCGAAAGCGUUAAGUUAUCCACCUGGGGAGUACGCCGGCNACGGUG
Molecule: ribosomal RNA, 541 nt
Filed under: uncultured bacterium
Lineage: Bacteria
Description: bacterial SSU rRNA
Rfam family: Bacterial small subunit ribosomal RNA
Source: RNAcentral